UACGUAGGGGGCUAGCGUCGUCCGGAUUUAUUGGGCGUAAAGAGCGUGUAGGCGGCCAGGUAGGUCUGGUGUGAAAACUCGAGGCUUAACCUCGAGAUGUCAUCGGAAACCAUCUGGCUAGAGUCCGGAAGAGGAGAGUGGAAUUCCUGGUGUAGCGGUGAAAUGCGCAGAUAUCAGGAAGAACACCAAUGGCGAAAGCAGCUCUCUGGGACGGUACUGACGCUGAGACGCGAAAGCGUGGGGAGCGAACAGG
RNAcentral lists this ribosomal RNA (253 nucleotides) under uncultured bacterium. RNAcentral's name for it is "partial 16S ribosomal RNA". It matches the Rfam family "Bacterial small subunit ribosomal RNA", at positions 524 to 776 of the family's 1533-position model. The record is from RNAcentral.